GAGCGGGCCGGGCAGCCGCGGGCACAGGCCGAAAGGCCGUGCGUGAGGAAAGUCCGGGCUCCAUAGGGCAAGGAUAACGGGUAACGCCCGCCGAAGGCAACUUCAGGACAAGUGCAACAGAGAUAUACCGCUGGGCCCCGCGCCCAGUAAGGGUGGAAAGGCGGAGGUAAGAGCCCGCCCGGCGGCUGGAGACAGCUGUCCGCUGUAAACUCUAUCCGGAGCAACACCGUGGAGGGACAUACAGGCCGGCCCGGCCGUCCCGUGGAGGUGGCUGAAACCAGCCGGCAACGACUGGUUUAGAUAGAUGGCUGUCCAACGACAGAACCCGGCUUACAGACCCGCUCA
RNAcentral lists this RNase P RNA (345 nucleotides) under pig gut metagenome. RNAcentral describes it as "Bacterial RNase P class A". It matches the Rfam family "Bacterial RNase P class A". Rfam says of the family: Ribonuclease P (RNase P) is a ubiquitous endoribonuclease, found in archaea, bacteria and eukarya as well as chloroplasts and mitochondria. Its best characterised activity is the generation of mature 5'-ends of tRNAs by cleaving the 5'-leader elements of precursor-tRNAs. The record is from RNAcentral.